RNAcentral lists this ribosomal RNA (94 nucleotides) under Gilliamella apis. RNAcentral's name for it is "partial 16S ribosomal RNA". It matches the Rfam family "Bacterial small subunit ribosomal RNA", at positions 1445 to 1533 of the family's 1533-position model. Lineage: Bacteria; Pseudomonadati; Pseudomonadota; Gammaproteobacteria; Orbales; Orbaceae. The record is from RNAcentral.
GGGGGGCGUUUACCACGGUGUGGUCCAUGACUGGGGUGAAGUCGUAACAAGGUAACCGUAGGGGAACCUGCGGUUGGAUCACCUCCUUACGAAG